Molecule: non-coding RNA, 1886 nt
Organism: Podarcis lilfordi (Lilford's wall lizard)
Lineage: Eukaryota; Metazoa; Chordata; Lepidosauria; Squamata; Lacertidae
Source: the annotation of a GenBank genome assembly
ACACAGGAAUAUUUUAAACCAUUAAGCAUUUGCCAAGCAUUUGGUUAUAAAAGAAGCAAUGAAUCAGUUCAAAUAGGAGUGAUCCAGCAGGAUGCUUCUUGCUUUUUAACUUUCUGCUGAAAAUGGCAUCCAGAAAAGUGAAUUUCAUGGGGCCGUGAGAAUGAUCAAGAGAGUAGAUGGUAAGUUGUAUAUGAGGCAAAACUAAAUUAAGGAACCAAGCUACAGAUAUGAAGAUGGAAGAGAGAAGAGACAUGGUGACAAUUUUAGGACACUUUUUUUUAAUAAGGGAAGGAAUAGGAAGAAUUGCUUGCCUUAUCCCCUGACAGCAUAGAGGAUAAAGCUAUCAGUGGCUAUUAAUUCUGAGACUGGAUACUACCUCUGAAUUCCAGUAGCUGGAGAAUAUGAGUGGGUGAUAGACUGUAGCUGCAAUGGUAGAUGGAGAGGUUGGGUUGGGUUGGGGCAGAGGGAGGUGAGGAAGGGUCCACAACAGCCAGGUACAGGGUUUUGAAAUUAGACUCUUUUUUGCAAUUUCCCAUUUUGUUUUUUCCUUCAGUCUGAGAUAACAUAAAAGAGUCCUCCUGGAUCAGCCCAAAAGCCACGUUGUCCCACAUUCUGCUCUCACAAUGGCCAACCGGGUGCCUGUAGGCGUGCAACUGGGUGCCCCCCAAUUAUAAUUCCAUUACUCUGGUUAUCACAUCAUGCUAUAAAUGCUUGUCACUGCUGAGCUUGUGGCACAGAUCCCGUUUCCCAACACUGCAAGAGAAGGUCGUGGAGGUGCGUCAUGAGGGAGGAGUUGAGGCCGGGUUCCAGCAUUUCUGUUGGGAUUCCUUCCUGUCAUGGGGCUUUCCCACAUGUCUGAGAGUUGAUGGUGUUCUUCAGCCCAUUGAGGGAGGGAGGGACAUCCAUGCCUGACUCCAGCAGUGUGGCCCUCUGCAAGAACAAAGGUGGCCACCACAACUGUAGUCUGUCUCAGUGACGUCUACACUGCCUUGGUCAUGUUGAUAGAAUGGAAGAUGGCAAGAUAUCUAUGGGUGUACUCUAUGGGGCGCUGACUUCAAGCACCAGGCCCGUUGGCAGACCAACUCUGUGUUACAAAUAUGCCUGCAAACAUGAUAUGAAGGCUGGCAACUUUAACUCCGCCAUUUUUUGUUUCCUUGUUUCUAUUGUGAAUUGAUAAUUUCCUCACAGAAAAAAGCACACCAUUGGAAAGUAGUUAACAUCACAAUCUUUUUGCUGUCUCUGAUUGAUAGGGACAUCCUUGAUUUUAAUUCUGUAAUGUUUAGCUCUCCAACUAACUCCACUCCCAGGCCUGCUUACACUGAAGUAGAUUCCACAGACAUUAAUAUGACUUAUUUCCAUGAAAGGAUGUUUAAUACUGGAGAUGGUAGUCCUCAUUCCUCUUGGAAAGUCCCUGGUAGUCACAACUGUAGCGUCUGGCAAACUGAACUUUAAGGAAUUUUUGCUUGUUGGCUUCCCUCAUUCUGAUUCAACAGUGGCAGGAGGAACAGCUGCUGCCAAUAUGCUGGCUACAGGAGCCUGGUGGGCAGGGCAUUAAAAACUCAGUCUUAACUCAUCUCUUAAUAACAACAAGCCACUUUCCAAUUGCUAGUUCCCCUCCUUCUCAAUGUUCUCUUCUCUAAGCUUUAGGUACACCCAAAUUAUUUAGUGUACCCACUGAGUGGCAGACACAUAUGCUGUAUUUCAUGUCAUGGUUAUAUAUGCUUUGAUAACUUCCAGUGUGCAAUACUGUCACUACUGGACUACUGUCUACAUCAGCCUGCCCUUGAAAAGUAUCUACCAACUUCCAUUUAUUCUUCAUGCUUUUGUUACGGUAUCGACUAAAGCCAGCAGGACAAAACAUAAAUGUCCAGUUUUGAACCAUCUUA